CUCGCCCCCGACCAAUGGGGCGCGUUGCUUGGGGGGCGGGGAGCGCCGGCGCUCUCAGCUGGGCCCGCGCGCCGCGGCCCCGCCCCCGCCCCCGGCCCGGGCAAGGUGAGGAGGAACCGGAACCGCCACAGCCCCAGCCCGGCCCGAGCCUGGCGGCGCUGUGACCGCGGCUGGGUUUCGGAGUAGCCCGGGGAAGAGGUCGGCCCCACUGCUACGAACGGGGCUGCCGCCGCCAGCAAAACUGGGAGGGCCGCUGGGCUCCGCGCCGGCCGCCUCCGGAGCUGGCGGGUGUGGGCGCAGUUCGGAGCUGCCUGGAGCUGUGGGUGCCGGAGUAGCCGAGGCAGCCGCCGGCGGAGGAGCCGGAGCGCGGAGGCUGCGUGUCGGCAUUGAUGCGGCAGGAUGACAGUGAAACUGGGAGAGAGCAGCGGGGAGGAAGGGGUGAAAAAGCUGGGCAAGAGAGCAGGAGGAGAUGAGGAGUCCCUGGAAGAAGAAGGGGCAGGAGGAGGAGGAGAGGCAGCUCCAGGCAGCAGCAGCACAAAGAAAGAAGAGAAGAUCAUUAACAGCAACACUACCAGCAGCUCCCCACCGAACCCCAGCUUGUCACCGGCCCCUGCCUCUCUCCAGCCCUCCCAGAGCCAGGACCAGCAUCAUUUUCUAAGGUCCAGUGUCAGACCUCAGAGCAAGAGACUGAAGAAGGAUUCCCAGGCAUCCUCCUCGGUAGGCAGCAGCACUGCCGGGAAAGGCAAAGCAGCAGAUAAUGGAGGGGCUGCACCCUGUGGCACAUCAGGAAUUCCUCCCAGCAAUCCUGCUGGGAAUUCCAAGUCAGCAGCAAGGAAUCUGGGUUCCUCAACAGGAGAGAAGGAAGAAGGGAAGAAAGUCCGACGGCAGUGGGAGUCAUGGAGCACGGAGGACAAGAAUACUUUCUUUGAGGGGCUGUAUGAGCAUGGGAAGGAUUUUGAAGCUAUCCAGAACAACAUUGCCCUGAAAUACAAGAAGAAAGGCAAACCAGCAAGCAUGGUGAAGAACAAGGAGCAGGUCCGGCACUUCUACUACCGCACCUGGCACAAGAUCUCCAAGUACAUUGACUUUGACAAUGUGUUUUCUCAAGGGCUGAAAAAAUCUUCCCUGGAGCUGUAUGGCUUAAUCUGCUAUGGGGAACUAAGGAAAAAGAUCGGGGGAUGUAUGGAUGACAAGAACGCAGCUAAACUCAAUGAGCUCAUUCAAGCCGGGGCUACAACUGUUCGUUACAAAGGCAGAAACCUGCGUAUCAAAGCUCCCAUGUGCAGGGCUUUGAAGAAACUCUGUGAUCCAGAUGGUGUGAGUGAUGAAGAGGACCAAAAGCCAGUACGACUUCCCCUCAAGGUCCCUGUGGAGUUGCAGCCACGGAAUAACCAUGCAUGGGCUCGAGUACAAAGUCUUGCCCAGAACCCACGGCUUAGGAUGAUCGUGGAGUUACAUCGGAAGGUCUCCAGCCUCCUUGAAUUCCUGAAGCAGAAGUGGGCUCUACAUGAAGUGCGGGUUCGUAAAACACUUGAAGAACAGCAACUUCGAGACUCCAGAGACUCAGAAACAAGAGGCAGCUUCUCAGAGGAGAAAGUGAUGCUCCAUCUCUUUCCAGGGGAGAACUGUACCAUCACUCCACUGCCUGGGGUAGCCAGAGUGGUCCACUCCAAGGCCUUCUGUACCGUGCAUUGGCAGGAAACGGGCAAAUGCAAACAGAACACAAAAGAUUCUCACUUACUCCCCCCUGCCCAAAUCCUUGGCAUACAGAGUGGUCAGGGGACAGCAAGGGGACAGCUGAAAUACCUGCGGGGGAUGGAAGGUAAGGGUGUGGGAAGGGGAGACAGCACUACAGAGCCCAGCAGAACCUUGCAGCCUACAACUGAAGUUUCUGCAAGCACUGAAGAUGGUGCCCCAGAGCCUGUCCUGGUGGAAGGAAUAGCCUCAAAUCUUGGCAUCACUAAUUCCCUCCAGAAACCACCUUCUGGACUUCAGGAUCCCGGAGAGCACCAGGAAAAGCUGAGCUCAGUGGUCCCCUGCAUGGAGGGCAGGGAGGCCUUGGCUAUUGACCAGGCAGGUGUGCUACCUUCGUGCAGCACAGAGUGUGCUUGCAGCAGGAUCCCUGAUGUGGAGGAGCUCUCUCUGCUUGAUCCAUUCCCACGGUACAUGAAGUCCUGCCAGGACCUAAUCGUCCCAGAGAAAUGUUCCUGCACAGACAAACUGCAUGGGAAAGACUCUGCUUCAGCAGCUGGUAAUGCUUCUCCAGUGGCUUUUCCAAGCAGGAGGAGUGCAGAGACCUCUGACUCUUGUUCCCAGCUACUGAGAGGUGAUGUGGCUUCCCCUAGCAGCAGCAGAUAUGAAACUCAGGCAAGCCACAGCCAGGGCCAGCAGCUUGAUGCUUGUACCAAGGAUAUCACGGAUGCAGUAAUGGAGGAUUCUCAAGAGAAGCUGGGCUCCUCGUUUCCACCUCCACCUCAGGGACAAUCCAGUACAAAGUCUCUCAAGGAUGACCCAAGUCGGCUCUCCCAACAAGUGAGAGAAGAAGGAUGGAGUCUGCGAACCUCUGAGAGCCUUACACUGGCUGAAGUCUACCUCAUGAUGGGCAAACCGAACAAACUGCAGCUGGAAUAUGACUGGUUGGCUGUCUUGGAGCCAGAAACCCAGCAUGCUAGAGAGCAGAUACCUGAGUCAAGUGCUGUCCCUGCAUGUCCUACCUUGCACAAGCAGAGACUCUUGAAUUGCCUUCUGAGACUCAUCUCUACUGAAGUCAAUCCCAAACCAACGCCCGAGAUGAGCUCUAUUGCCACGUCACCUAUAAAGCCUGCUCAGGAGGAGCAGGCCCUGACUCCCCCGGGAAAGGUAAUUGCCAUCAACACCAGGAGUCCUGGCUGCGCACGCAAUCAGUCUGCCCUUCGCAACAAGACUUUUUCUCCUGGUGCUGCUUCCAGCUCCUCAGGUUUGAGAAACCUCCCUAGACCUCUCUUGGUGGCUAGUCCUUCAAGUUCUGGGAGCACUGAGGCUGACAGUGGACUGUUUGCAGUCCCUACAACCCUGCCCCCCAACAGCCGCCAUGGGAAACUGUUCCUACCCAGCAAGGAAGCAGAGCUGACCUUCCGGCAGCACCUGGACACCAUCAGUAUGCAGUCGGACUUCUUCCUUCCGAAGCCCAGGAAGUUACGGAACAGGCACUUGCGGAAGCCACUGGUAGUACAGAGAACACUGCUCCCUAGACCGUCUGGAAAUCCGUCCCAGCAUGUCUGUUCCUUUUCUAUCUUAUCCAACUCAUCCAUUACAGGGAGAGGUUCAUUUCGGCCAAUCCAGUCCUCACUGACCAAAGCUGCUGUUUCUCGUCCAAUUGUGCCCAAAGUUCUUCCAACACAGGCCACCAACCAUCUGUCUAGUGCUAUUGACUUGGCAGCUAAAAGUGCUGGCAUUAUCCCUGGUAGUCCCAUGCCUGUCGUGGAUGCAGAUGGUUUGCCAGGUGUGUCUCCAUUGUCACCGGAUGCAGUGCCUACAGUAGUGACAGGGCAGGAGCCAGCAGUAGCACAUCAGAAUGGAGGCUCCAUCACCACUGUGGAGGGCUCAGGCCCAGGGUGCCGGGUGCCGUACAUCAGCCUGCCGACCCGCCCCGAGCAGGAUGGCUUCCAGGGUACAUCAGUCCUUUCUAUGCCAGAACUGGCCAAGACUUCUCUCCAGAAUGGUCUGUCCACCCCUCCACUUCCCUCAUCAGAAGCUUCCAGUACUCGGCUCUCUCCUCCCAAUGUUUCUGCUCUCUUGGAUAUUUCCCUGCCUGGACCACCUGAAGAUGUGCUUUCCCAAGGCGAACCUGCCACUCAGAUCAGCGAUUCCAUCAUUGAAAUAGCCAUUAGCUCUGGCCAAUACAGUGAAGGUGUUUCUCUCUCUCCUGCAAAGCUGAAUGGCAGUGACAGCUCCAAAAGUCUUCCAUCCCCAUCCAGUAGUCCUCAGCAGAACUGGAUUGCAUCUCCCACCCAUGAUCCCCAGUGGUACCCCAAUGACUCCACAGACUCCUCCCUCAGCAGCUUGUUCUCAAGUUUCAUCUCCCCAGAGAAGGGACGAAAAAUGUUACCAGCUCCAGCUGGGAACACCAGUGGCACCUCCUUACUGGGACCCAGCCUGCUGGAUGGAAACUCACGGGACUCCUUUGUGUCGCGGUCCCUGGCAGACGUGGCAGAGGUGGUGGAUUCCCAGCUGGCUUGCAUGAUGAAUGAGAACAGCAUAGAUUACAUAUCUCGGUUUAAUGACCUUGCCCAGGAACUGUCAAUACCUGAGCCAACUCGCAGGGAGAUCCUUUUUGAUGGAGGUGGUGGUGGUCCCCCGACUGGGGAUCUGUCACAGUAAGGAAAUGACCAGCAGGCUGGUGCAGACUGUUCAGCUAAGUUGGAGCUUGCAGAGCUGGAACUCGAUGAGGGAGCAGCUGAGUCUGAGUUAUCCCUGUCCUGUGUGCCUCUUUCUAACAGAGAAGCAUUGGCUUCAAAGGUCUCAAGAAAUACUUGCAAGUCCUGGAAUGUGCAAUAUGCUGACAACAACAGAACAUGGAAUAACGUUACAGAAGAUAGUGUGUCCCUGCAUCAGCAAUAAAUCCUUCAGAUUUGCAGGACAAAAGUAGAAGGCACCUACUAUGGCUGUGGAUUACAGAACGUGCAGGAGGAAAUGUGUUAGAUUCUAAUCAAGUACUGUCUAAAAAGAAAUCUGAACUCUCAUUCUUAAACUUCUAAAUACUGCAAAAGUAAUGUGAGAGUCUCCAGUGUAUUUGUAACUUGACACUGGGUUUGGCUCUGAAGUUGCCUAGAAUAAAGACCAGUGUUGCAGUACCUGCUGCAGGAGUGGAGAGCAGAGCACUUCAUCCUUAUCCAUGAAGGCUUUUUGCCUGCGAUACAAGGAGCUGUCAGCUGCCUUUCCUCAGCAUACCCAGGGGGAAGGACCCAACUGCAGAAUGAAGGCAGAACAGGUGGCUAUUUUUGAUGACGCUGUGACAUCAGAAAACUUCUAAUACCCUGAACCUUUGCAAGUGGGCUUGAACCACCCAGUAAUAACAGAGUAUAAAUUACAGAAAUCAGUUCAACACUCACAAGGUUGGGUUGGAAGUGUUUGGCGUCAGCCCCUUAAAAGUUGGCAUUAUGAAGCAGAGUUUGAUUUCAGAAAUGUAAUGCAUUGCAAACUGCUUUUUAAGAAUAAAGCCCUUUGAGGAAAAGGGAAGAACUUAAGAAUAAUUAAGAUCAUUGUGUAAUUCUGAAUUGAUGCAGUAUCUGUUACCCUUGCUAUAUGAAAGGCCAUUUAAACACAUUUCUGAUCAGACCAGCUCUAGAUUUUAGGUGAAUGUACUUUACAAUAGUGGUCAUCAUCAGUUUGUGCCUGAGACUGCUAAGGAGGUGGUGUACACACACACACACACACGCGCGCGCGCGCGUACAUGCAUGCACAGAUGGCGGGGAACGUGGUAAUACUCAAAAUUUCUUCAAUUUUAAUUAUUUCAGCUUCCCCAACAACAGUAACAAAAUCUAUAUGAGGGAGAAUGUCAGGCUAAGCAGACAUCCAAGCAAGUAACACUGAAUUGCACACAGUAUCUUUUCUGAGGUAGAAGUGACUUCAUUAGGUUAGUACCUUCCUGGAGCACUAUGAGGUGUUGGAGAGGACUAAGGGACACUAACAGUCUCCACGUCUAGGAUGAACUGCUCUAGGCUUUUCCCUCUCAGUGACCAUAAGGCAGUUCUGAGUAGCUGACAAGGUAAAUGGCAGAAGAUUGGGUGUCUCAUCACCAUGGGCUGAGUGCAGAGCAGUACCAUAGCCCAAGGCUGGAUCCACCCAUGUGUGUGUGCACACAUUGACAGAGAUCUGUACAGGGUGUUGCAUUCUGAUCACUCAUACAAUCCAUUUUAUACUGCAUCCCUAAAUCUACUAAGCGUAGGAAUAGUAAUUGUUUUUUCAUAUAUCAUUGUUAAGCCUUUUUUUGACACCCUCUGUAUUUUUAAAUUGAAUUAAAUGGCUUGAUUCAAAUCUAACGUAUAAAGACAUCUCAUUUACUGACAGCAGAUCCCAGAGUGGAAAUUCAGUUGCAUUUUGUUUUCUACGCUCAGACUUCAGAUGCAUUUAUAAGGAAAGUACUGCACUUUUUUUUAACCUUUUCAAACCUUUCAGUCUGUUAAUUUCACAGCAAGUUGUAAAUGUUACCUAAGUGAAACCUUGGCAAGCACUACGGCAAUAAGUUAUCAUUAAUUAUUGAACAUGAUAACUGCUUUAGAGCUUACAAUUCUGGCAGCAGAAUGUAAUGCUGUUUCUUUUAAUAAUAGUUAAGCCAUAUCAUCUAAGGUUUCUGGCUUGUUUGAGAUGUGAAUUUGUUUUAUAGAUUAUAAAUAUAUAGUGUAUGUAUAAAGCAAAAUGCCUGUCCUUACUGAUUAUUUUUUGUACCAUACUGUAAAUUAUAUUAUUUAUUCUUUACCAAUUUUGGAAAAAGGUGUUUUGGUUAUUUAAUAUAAUAUACAAAAGCUGUUAAACUUCUUCUGUUUAAAUUUCCAAUUCAACUUGUAAAGCUGUUUUUAUUCUUGUGCAUAAAUACAUACUAAUACUUGGUCUAA
Molecule: non-coding RNA, 6593 nt
Organism: Agelaius phoeniceus (red-winged blackbird)
Lineage: Eukaryota; Metazoa; Chordata; Aves; Passeriformes; Icteridae
Source: RefSeq, a predicted model, not a curated record